UGUUUGUCUAUAUAGAGAAGCUAUUUGAUUUGAUACGACUAUUGUAGUCAAUAAAUCAAAAUUGUUGAAUAAGAGUAGUAGUAAUAAAUAGUAAUGAUACACAAUUUUUAACUAAUAUUAAAAAUAAAAAUAAAAUUAAACGGCGAUGGUGGUAAGAUACACCAUUUCUAACAUAGUGCAUAUACCUUAGUAAGAUACACCAUUUUUAACUUGGUGCAUAUACCUUAGUAAGGUAACCUUACCCCUGGCCAUGAGUUGCUUCAGAACAGCAAAAUUUUAGUACUCUACUUUUCACUUAUGCCUACAUACGUACACAGAAUAGUACAAAAAUAAAUAAUACACCUUUUAACAAAUUAAAGUAGAUAAGAAAUGGUCUGUGUUUUUGUAUUAAAAAAAAUGAAAUGGAUCUAUGUUUUAUGCGCCUUUCUUUUUUUUUUGGUAUAAUUUACUAACAGAUUGUUAUAAAGUUUUCU
Molecule: long non-coding RNA, 473 nt
Filed under: Trifolium pratense (red clover)
Lineage: Eukaryota; Viridiplantae; Streptophyta; Magnoliopsida; Fabales; Fabaceae
Description: long non-coding RNA (TPRA_LNC003213)
Source: RNAcentral